RNAcentral lists this ribosomal RNA (253 nucleotides) under uncultured bacterium. RNAcentral describes it as "partial 16S ribosomal RNA". It matches the Rfam family "Bacterial small subunit ribosomal RNA", at positions 524 to 776 of the family's 1533-position model. The record is from RNAcentral.
UACGUAGGUGGCUAGCGUUGUCCGGAUUUACUGGGCGUAAAGAGCGCGCAGGCGGUCGUUCAAGUCGAGUGUGAAAGCCCCCGGCUCAACUGGGGAGGGUCACUCGAUACUGAUCGACUUGAAGGCGGGAGAGGGAAGCGGAAUUCCCGGUGUAGUGGUGAAAUGCGUAGAUAUGGGGAGGAACACCGGUGGCGAAGGCGACCAUCUGGACGGAUACUGACGCUGAGACGCGAAAGCGUGGGGAGCAAACAGG